RNAcentral lists this ribosomal RNA (513 nucleotides) under uncultured bacterium. Its description in RNAcentral is "partial 16S ribosomal RNA". It matches the Rfam family "Bacterial small subunit ribosomal RNA", at positions 28 to 523 of the family's 1533-position model. The record is from RNAcentral.
GACGAACGCUGGCGGCGUGCCUAAUACAUGCAAGUUGAGCGCUGAAGGUUGGUACUUGUACCGACUGGAUGAGCAGCGAACGGGUGAGUAACGCGUGGGGAAUCUGCCUUUGAGCGGGGGACAACAUUUGGAAACGAAUGCUAAUACCGCACAAAAACUUUAAACACAAGUUUUAAGUUUGAAAGAUGCAAUUGCAUCACUCAAAGAUGAUCCCGCGCUGUAUUAGCUAGUUGGUGAGGUAAAGGCUCACCAAGGCGAUGAUACAUAGCCGACCUGAGAGGGUGAUCGGCCACAUUGGGACUGAGACACGGCCCAAACUCCUACGGGAGGCAGUAGUAGGGAAUCUUCGGCAAUGGACGAAAGUCUGACCGAGCAACGCCGCGUGAGUGAAGAAGGUUUUCGGAUCGUAAAACUCUGUUGGUAGAGAAGAACGUUGGUGAGAGUGGAAAGCUCAUCAAGUGACGGUAACUACCCAGAAAGGGACGGCUAACUACGUGCCAGCAGCCGCCGCGG